CCUACGGGUGUCAGCAGUGGGGAAUAUUGGACAAUGGGGGCAACCCUGAUCCAGCCAUGCCGCGUGUGUGAAGAAGGCCCUCGGGUUGUAAAGCACUUUCAGUGAGGAAGAACGCCUGGUGGUUAAUACCCAUCAGGAAAGACAUCACUCACAGAAGAAGCACCGGCUAACUCCGUGCCAGCAGCCGCGGUAAUACGGAGGGUGCGAGCGUUAAUCGGAAUUACUGGGCGUAAAGCGCGCGUAGGUGGCUUGAUAAGCCGGUUGUGAAAGCCCCGGGCUCAACCUGGGAACGGCAUCCGGAACUGUCAAGCUAGAGUGCAGGAGAGGAAGGUAGAAUUCCCGGUGUAGCGGUGAAAUGCGUAGAGAUCGGGAGGAAUACCAGUGGCGAAGGCGGCCUUCUGGACUGACACUGACACUGAGGUGCGAAAGCGUGGGUAGCAAACAGGAUUAGAUACCCCGGUAGUC
RNAcentral lists this ribosomal RNA (465 nucleotides) under Vreelandella stevensii. RNAcentral's name for it is "partial 16S ribosomal RNA". It matches the Rfam family "Bacterial small subunit ribosomal RNA", at positions 338 to 795 of the family's 1533-position model. Lineage: Bacteria; Pseudomonadati; Pseudomonadota; Gammaproteobacteria; Oceanospirillales; Halomonadaceae. The record is from RNAcentral.